Molecule: RNA transcript, 6583 nt
Organism: Chroicocephalus ridibundus (black-headed gull)
Lineage: Eukaryota; Metazoa; Chordata; Aves; Charadriiformes; Laridae
Gene: PROSER1
Gene name: proline and serine rich 1
Exons: 14
Source: RefSeq, a predicted model, not a curated record
AGGUAGGGCCGGCGGUGCCCUGUCGGUGGCUCCGGGCUGCUCGCCGCGCUCUCGUCUCCCGGCUCGCCUCGGCCCCGCCGCCCCGGCGGCCGCUCGGAAGCGCGUCGGCCUCUGACCGCCGGGAUCAAAGCGGGUGGCGGCGCAGCGAGCUAUGGGGUGCGGGAGCGCCCCGCGGGCGGGCGCGGGCCGGCCGGGCCUCGGCGCCGCGUGUUGAGGGGAGCGGAGCGGCUCGGCGGGGUCGUUGGGCGGCCGCCCUCUCCCUGGCACUGCCUCCUCUUCUCUCUCUGCCGCGGACCCUUCUUUCUGCGCUAGGAGGAGAGCCGCGCAGCGAGCGGGCGCGGGUCCGCUCCGCGCCCGGCGGCCUGCCUUUGUCUCUUGCGCCCUGUCCGGCAUUGCAGAGACGUCAGCCCUGAAUUCCCAGUGGCCGAGAGAAUCCCAGGCUGCCUUUUUUGCUUUCUUGCUUUUUAAUAUUUUUUUCCUAUAUACUUAAAGACUGUCAGUAAAGUCUUUGGCCUGGAUAUUAUUUUUUUAAUUUUUUUUCUUCCAUGUUUUAAGUACCUGCAUUGAAUAAACUAAUAAAGAUGGAUAAGAAAUCAUUUGAAACCGUGCUGGAUGAAAUUAGAAAGGCUGUAUUGACGGAGUACAAAUUAAAAGCCAUUGAAUAUGUUCAUGGAUACUUUUCUAGCGAACAGGUUGUUGAGUUACUGAGAUACUUUUCCUGGGCUGAACCACAGCUCAAGGCAAUAAAGGCUUUACAACAUAAAAUAGUGGCAGUUCCGGCAUCGAAAAUGGUUAAUAUUCUCAACUGCUUCACAUUCAGUAAAGAUAAACUUAUUGCCCUUGAAAUCUUAGCUUCCAACAUUGUUGAUGCUCAGAAUUAUCGCCUUAUUGAAGAUCUGUUCAGAAUUAAUAUGUCAGAGAAGAAAAGAUGCAGAAGAAUUCUUGAACAGGCUUCAAAAACGGGUUGUAAGGCUCCUCAUGCUAUGAUAUCAUCCUGUGGCAUGAUUCCAGGCAACCCUUAUCCCAAGGGCAAACCAAGCCGCAUAAAUGGAAUUUUCCCAGGAACCCCUAUCAAAAAGGAUACAGAAGAAUGCACUAACGAAGGAAAGGGAAUAGCAGCUCGUAUACUUGGACCAUCCAAACCAGCUCCAUCAACCUACAAUCCACACAAACCAGUUCCAUACCCCAUCCCACCAUGUCGGCCACACGCAACUAUUGCACCAAGUGCUUACAACAAUGCUGGCUUAGUUCCAAUGGCUAAUGUCAUAGCUCCAGGCUUACCAGCUCCUCCCCCAUACACUGCUAAUCAGGUGGUAUCAGAAAAUGAGGACCUUUCCAGCCAGACAAAACCUUCCCAAAAUCAAGCUUUUUCUGCACAAGCGAAUCAGCUCUUUACUCCUCAUGGUUCUAAUCCUUCAACACCUGCUGCUACUCCAGUCCCUACCCCAUCACCUGUCAAGGCAAUAAGCCAUCCAUUAGCACCUGCAACUCCACUCAUAUCUGGGAUGAACAUGUCUACCCCUGUCCUUCCUGUUUUCCCAGGACAGGUCUCCUCUUCCAUCCAUACAUCUCAGCCAUCCACCCCAACCCCUACUGUCAUCAAAUCCCUUUCAUUGCCUGGUGUUCCUGUCACAUGUGUUCACAGUGCAACCUCUACCCCUAUCCCUGCAGUUUUUUCUGGGCUGGCUUCUAUACCCACUGCUACGCCAGCUCCGCAAGGUUCUUCCACACCAUGCGCCACACCUGCGCCUAGUGAAGCUUUUGCAUCUGCUGCUGCACCAUUUGCUGGCCUCCCGUUCCCUGCAACCUCUUCAAUUGCUUCCACUAAUAAUCCCACUCCAUUGUCAUCAGUUUUUGCUGGCCUCCCUUUGUCCUUGCCUCCCAACGCCCAAGGGAUUUCUAGUCCCAUUCCAUCUACAAUUGCUAAUUCUCCUGCCACUACCAUUCCUGGUUCGCUUAGCUUGCCUAACCCAAUUUUGUCUGUCUUAAAGGGAUUUCUGACAUCAAAUGACACUUCAUUAAUCAAUUCAUCUGCUUUACCUUCUGCUAUGACAAGUGAGCUUGCUUCUUUGUCUGCUCUUGCUAAUCAAAACUCUGACCCUCCCACUUCCUCUGUCAACAAAUGCUAUACUCCAUCAGCCACCCCCACCCCACAGCGUUCCUCCACACCUGGGUUGGCCAUUUUUCCAGGUCUUCCAUCCCCAUCUGUGGCCAAUUCUAGUUCCACUCCUCCAACAUUGCCUGCACAGUCACCUUUAACCACUUCGCCAUCGAUUAUGCCAGUCAACUGCGGCUCAUCAGCCUCCCUCUUGCAUGGCACAAGCCCUACUAAUCCUGAUCAGCAGCUGCCAUCAGCCCCAGCUGCCACAAGUAUCCCAGUUCUGGUCAAAACAGAACCCAUAAGUCCUACCCUCUCGGCCUUCAAAGGUCCUUCUCAUUCAGCUGGCCCUUCUCAUGGCACUAUAGGACUGUCAGCGCUGGGGCGUGCAUACACCUCCGCAGCUUCAGUGCCAGUCAGUUUACCCAGUUCCCUGAAUCCAGCACUGUCGGGUCUCUCCUCUUUGAGUGCUCCUCUAAACAAUUCCAGUUCUCUGGCUUCCGUUUCCCUCGCCCCACAUGGCUCGUCUGCUCCCAUUGCCCCUGUGUUCAAUGGACUUCCUCCUUUUACGUCUCUAACCAGUAACUUUGCUUUUACUGGUAAUCCAGCACUUACGCCACCCGUCACUCUCCCAGGGUCCUUGUUAGCUACUCCGUCUACAACCGCUUCAGCCGUGUCUGCCCCUCAUGUGAGUUCCACCGCCGCCGUACUCUCAGGACUCGCCGCCUCAGCAACAGUUUCCGCUCCACCCUUCUCGCUUAACUUGUCCAGUGCCGUCCCUUCCCUUUUUUCUGUUGCCCAGGGACCUCUGGGAUCAUCAAACCCAUCCUUCCCUGGUUUUCCUGUCUCUAACACACCCUCUGUCACUCCUGCUCUCCCUUCUUUCCCUGGCCUCCAGGCAUCUUCUGCAGUAGCAGCAGUUGCACCGUUGCCGGCAGCUGCCACAGCCCCAUCUCCGGCUCCGGUCCUGCCAGGGUUUGCCUCGGCCUUUAGCUCAAACUUCAACUCUGCACUUGUUGCGCAGGCUGGCUUGACUUCUGGACUACAGACACCGGGAAAUGCAGUUUUUCCUGGUCUUUUAUCUCUCCCUGGUAUCCCUGGCUUUCCGCAGAGUGCCGCACAAUCUUCCUUACAGGAAUUGCAGCACAGUGCGGCUGCGCAGUCAGCACUACUACAGGCACAUUCUGCUUCUGCUCUGGAGAACUAUACAGCUCAGCCUGAAGGUUUUGCUAACUAUCCGUCAACACCAGGAACACCAUUUUCAUUGCAGACAAGCCUGCCCCAGAGUGGAUGGCAAUAAAUACCAGACAUUUUUAAAGACUGCAGUGGUUGCUUGACAGAGCCUGAUCCUAUUCGCUUUGAAGGCUGUCUCUGCGUUAGUGGGAGCAUGGUCUGAAUUGGGGAGAGAAGGGGAAAACAUGAGGGUAAAAUGAUUCCUGGAGGCUGUGUCAGAUGUCAAACCUAAUUUGUGAUUGCAUUUAACUGAUUCAGGGUCUGAUCCUGUGAAUUGCUGAGCAUCCUUGACUCUCCUUUUAGCUUACGAGUUGAAUGUUUGGUGUCUUACAGGAUCAGGGACAUUCAAACAGACGCUUAUGUAAAUAGAGCAAUUGGCUGUCAAACUGAAUGGGGAGAACAAGUAUACUUAAUAGUGUGUAUAAACACCUAUCCUGUUAUAUUUUAUAUGGUAUAUGUGGUUAAUAUAGAAUGAGAUCUAGACUGAAACUAGAUACUUAAAGCUGUAGAUGAUCUUCCACCUAGAUGCACACACCUUGUGUGUGCAUAGAUCAAGGUCAGUUUAUGGUUCUUCGAAUCUUUUCUUUGUACGUGUGAGGUUCUCCUGUUAGCGUCAGCAGUGUGUUAAGGGGAGGAUAGAUCAGAGGGGUGUGGGGGUUUUCUUACGCUUUGAAAUAUUGUCAUGGGCUUGCUGCUGAAUUGAGUACUCCUUUGCCUGAAUCUGAACAGGAGAGCUAGGAAAUGAUGCUGUACUGUAUUUGGGUAGACGUGGAUUAUGUUUUACUGGAGUAUGGUUUAGCUACGUGAGAAUAUGUCUUUUCAAAGUAUAUAAAAGCAUUUUAAUUUGCCUCUAACAUAAUGUUCCAUAACAUUCUCCCUGCCCCCAAACCUCUCUGUGAAUGAAAUUAUUGUACUGCGGAUAGGCUGCCUAUCCGGCACUUUUGACUGCAGACUUUUGUGAAUGUUUACAGACAUGGGUCAAGUUCUUCUCUCCCUUAUACUCAUAAACUCACUGGUCCUCUGUACCCCUUUCAGCUAUAAACCAUGACUUGAUGGUGCUUAUGUUAUCCCGUGAAUAUAAGUGGGAGCAGAAUUUGGACCAUGGAUUUUUUUAGUAUUUUUCCUUGGAAAAUGUACAUGAUUUUAAAGGCAUAUAGCUAAAUUAACUGUAUUGGUUAGGAAGGGUUAUGACGCAGCAUAUAGAAAGGUCUUGCUUCUUAGUGAAAUUCAGUUGUGCACUCUUCUAAUAAUGUUAGUACCUGUGGCAAUGUGUAACACAUCAUUGAAUAUCAUCUAUUUAAGAUAACUCUUGGUCAUGUUCUAGAGACAAUAGAGAUGAAUGAUAUUCAAUCCUGUGAUUAAAUUAAAACGUAGAGGAUACUAUACUGUAGAAAAGCUCUGCCUAGAGUUUUACUUUUUUAAAGAUGAAUUCUGCUGGGAGAUGUUGGCUAAUGUAUUUUCUUUCAAGAUGUGAACAAACUUUUUUAGAACAUUAACGGAAAUUCCUGUAUUGGUUUUUAACACAAUUUUUUUAAAUAAAAAGUUUACAGUCAUGGCAAAAAGGCUUUGAUGACUAUUUACAUAUUUGCCUAGAAUACAGAUGAAUAAACUUGUUUUUACUUAGACACUUCCUAAUGUUUGAUCUUGCUUAUGCUGUUUCUUUAUGAUGCAGAAUUAUAUACUGAAUUAUAAAAUUGUUUUCUUAAAGAGUAGCAAUAGAAAUAUCCUAUGAAGUGUUCACAUAAAAAAUUUAAACAGUGUCCUCGGUACUGUGUCAGCAGUUGGGUAGUCUUGCAUUUUAAUAAUUAAAAUUACAUAUUACUUUAAGUGUAAAGAUAAAAACAUAUUGCACUCUUACGUAUUUUUUUUUUUAUUUUGUGAAACCUGUUGAAUUCUAAUGAUUCUCCACUCUGAACUGCUUUUAAAAUCAGUGCCUUAUAUCUUGACUCAAGAAAUUUGCAGAAAAAAAUCUCUGCCAUCAUUCAGUAUGCACUGGUGAGGCCACAACUGGAGUACUGUGUCCAGUUUUGGGCUCCCCAGUUCAAGAGGCACAGGGAACUGCUGGAGAGAGUCCAGUGAAGGGCAGCUAAGAUGACUGAGGGACUGGAGCAUCACCCUCAUGAGGAAAGGCUGAAAGAGCUGGGACUCUUUAGCCUGGAGAAGAGAAGGCUGAGGGGAGACCUUAUUAUGGCAUACAAGUAUCUAAAGGGUGGGUUUAAGGAGGAUGGUGCCUGACUCUUUUCAGUGGUUCCCAGUGACAGGAUGAGGGGUAACAGGCACAAGCUAGAACAUAGGAAGUUCCGAUCAAAUAUGAGAAAAAACUUCUUUACGGUGAGGGUGACAGAGCACUGGAACAGGCUGCCCAGGGAGGUUGUGGAGUCCCCUUCUCUGGAGAUUUUCAGGACCCGCCUGGAUGCAGUCCUGAGUGAUGUGCUCUAGGCAAUCCUGCUCUAGCAGGGGAGUUGGACUAGAUGAUCUCUAGAGGUCCCUUCCAACUCUGAAAAAUUCCGUGAUUCCGAGUAUACUUUUCUUCUAAUUUGUAGAUCAGUUAGAGAAGGAGAAAAUAAAAAUACAGUUACCUUCUCAAGAGCAAAUUGGCUUUUGUUCUGUAGAUGCGAAUGUAAAGUAGUUCAGUGUUUUGUAACCUCCUAAGUUUCUGAGUUUGAUCUGCAAUUUGAGUCCUAGUUUCCCAAUCAAUCAAUCAAUCAAUCAAAGUUUAAACUAAUUCACAUUACCUUGUAGUCCAAAAGAAGUACCAGACAUCAGCUGUUACAGAGUGUUUUCGCAAAAAGUAAGCAGUUUCUUUCUGAAAACAUCUACUGAAUGGUCAUGGGGUGUGGGUUGUUUUUUUUCUGACUGAACAUGAAACAACUCAGAGGCACGCAAGAAACUGUGAAGCCCUGUUUCUCCAGAUGAAAACAGGAAUAAAGUCUGUGUUCUGCAUUGCAGCAAACUCCUGUGACCCAGCCUUGGAAUUUCUGAAGGGGGUGAUUUGUCCUGCGGUCUUUCAUGCUUACUUGAGCACCUCUUUUAAAAAGCCAAGGAAAAAUCUGCUCCUGAGGCAAACCUUCUUACACUGAGCCUGUGCUGGGAAAGGGCUGUUGCUGUAUGACUUAAUUCUGGAGUAAUUAUGAUUUCUUCAUUGUUCAAGUUGCCUGUUACUGCUGUAUUUCAGCUAUGCUGACAGACUGCAAAGAUAAGGUGUAGUGAAAUGUCCUUUGAAAUAAAAUCUCUAUUCAGAACAACUAAGAA